Molecule: long non-coding RNA, 344 nt
Filed under: Homo sapiens (human)
Lineage: Eukaryota; Metazoa; Chordata; Mammalia; Primates; Hominidae
Description: HSALNT0043285
Source: RNAcentral
GAAAGAAUUUGGUGGAUAAACCUGGCAGGCACCCAUUUCUGGUAACAGCUGGAUUCCUUUUAAUCUCAUAGUGUAGUCCCCCCAUUAUGUGCUUACAUUCAUUUGAGAGGGUCCAAUUUAAACAAGUAAUGAAACCAAGAUCUCUCAACUCUUAUCCACACAGAAGAGCUCUCUUCCAGGGCUGCUGGUGAAAGCAGGUGCAAUCAGAGGAGCCAUAAGUCACAGCGAUUCUGCAGGUGAGGAGGAAAUGAUGCCAUGUGGCGAGACUUGGCCUGUUCAAGGAAAAUCAUCAGGAUCACAAAUACAGUUUCCUCCAUGAAAGCUGGCUUCUCCUAAACAGUAAC